RNAcentral lists this unclassified non-coding RNA (3433 nucleotides) under Hevea brasiliensis (rubber tree). The record is from RNAcentral. Lineage: Eukaryota; Viridiplantae; Streptophyta; Magnoliopsida; Malpighiales; Euphorbiaceae.
UUCUCUCUCUCCCUCUCUCUCUCUGAGUUCUCUCUCUAGAUUGCCCCUUCUCUUUUUAACCCCCAAAUUCCAAACCCUAACCCUAAAAUUUCCCUAGAAGGAUACAGAAUUUCUCUCAUGAAAUUCCUGCCGCACGCAAACGCUGGAUUCCCAAUCAAAUCUUCGUUUAAAACAAAUCGAAGCUUAAUUUGAUGAUAAUAAUCAAAUUAUCUUACUCUCUUAAACUCUAGCUAUCCUCUUUCUCCGUGUCUAUCUCGUCUUAGAAAUAUAUGGAGGGCUCUGUAGUGGAGGAUCUCGGAGCCCCUGAGUCAUGGGAGGUGGCCGAUUUGGACGAAACGAUGAGCCGUUUGAUGCUUCGGGAUUCGAAGCAAGAAUCCGAAAAACUCCCUCUAGAGCUCUCCGCCGAUGUUUCCAUUCAUUCGGGCUUGGCGUCGGGUUAUGGGUCUUCAGCUUCCGGUACCGGCAGUGGUGAGAAAGUGUCAAACGAUAUAAUUAAUCAGGUCGAUCAGUUCCUUCGUGAAGCCUUGCAGAACCCUCGUGAGCGGCUCUCCAUUCUGAGGAUGGAGCAAGAUGUUGAAAAGUUCAUUUGUGAUCCUACACAACAGCAAUUAGAAUUUCAUCAGUUGCCCACUUCAUAUUUACGGUUGGCUGCACACCGUGUAGCACAACAUUACUCGCUUCAAUCUAUGGUUUUGUUAGACAAUAAUUUACCUGAUGGAUCUGGUUCCAGAAUUAUUGUCCGCAAGACUUCUGAGUGUAGGUUGCCUUUGAUUCGGCUUGCAGACAUCCCUGUAAAUUUGCCAUCAGAAGACAGUGGUAUUGUUAAAGUUGCGAUUAAGCAAAGGCCACAGAAGCGGCUGCAAACUGUCAACAAUUCAAAUUCAAAUUCCAUGAAGACAAAUAGUUCCAAAAGUGUGGAGGAAAGAAAAGAGGAGUACAACAGGGCACGUGCACGAAUAUUUAAUUCUAGUGGUUUUAGCAGUAGUGCUAGUGGGAAGCCAGAAGGUGAACAAAGAGUGCAAGAUGGUUCCCAGCAUAGUGUGUUGGGUAUAUUGAAGACAGAAGAAAAACCUGUUUCGGGGAGUUCAGAUAUAAAUUCUGGUAGAGGUUCUAUUGAAUCUUCUACAAGUAGCAAUAGAUCAGCUAGAACUAGGACAGAGAAGGAGCCAGUUAGUAGGUACAAACCAAACAAUAGGGUGGCCAUCUUUCGAGACCGUGAAGUUGAUAGGAAAGAUCCAGACUAUGACAGGAGCUAUGAUAGGUAUAUGCAAAGGUUUGAUCCUGGAUUUGGAUUCAAUGGAGGACCUUACACCAUGCAGCCAAUGUACACCCCUGCAUUGAACUACAACACUGAAUUUCCGCAACUUGGUUCCAGCCAUAGGCCACAAAUAUCUGCAGAACAUCAACCUCGACCUCUCCCUCAACAUUUACCUGGGCCGUGGGCUGCCCCGUCGACUACUCCUGGAAUUGGAUAUGGCCCUCCAGAAACAAUGAUGACACCAUUCAAUCCAAAUCAUGUUGGUGCACGUUCUUCAUCUGCCAUUUAUCUACAUUCGUCUCAGUAUCCCUGUCAGCGCCCAGGAAUGCCUUUUAUCCAUCCUCACGAGCAUGUUCAACCUUUUUCACAGUCUCAUCAACAACAACCUGAUGCAAGUUUUGGUUUAGCCCGGCCCCGAUGAGGGGCUUGGGCCAUGCCUGCACCCUGGCCGCUGGGACCUGGGCUUGGAAUAUUUUAUGAGCUGAUGAUGCAGCUUCAAAUACAUCUCAACUUGCAGGAGUGCAGGCACAAGGAACUGAGGUGGAAGGCAGGUGGGCAUUUGUGUUCUGAUCGAUUCCUCCACUCUCAGUAUCACUUGAAGCUUCUUCCACUUGUGAUGAAUGAUGAAGAAGCUCAAAGGCUCGGCAGAUCAAUCGUGUGAAUGAGUGAGAGUCCUGUUUUAACCCUGAUGAUGAUGAUGAAGAAUAUUGCAAAAAGAAUUGUUGUAGUCAGAAAUGGGCGUGCUCUCACUGGACAAAGGUGUGUCUUGUUCCAUCACUCUUACCUUUUCAGUUUAUUAAGGGCCCAUUUGACAGCAUUGUCCAAAUUUAUUAAAAUCAAAACUGGGAAAAAGAGUUGAUAAUUUGUGUAAUUCUUUCAUAACCCAAAGCAAAAUUAAGAAGUCACUUGUUUCCUCAUCAAAAAAUAAUUUGGUAUAAUUGUAUCACAUAAAAAUUGCAUAAUUCAACUUGACUCUUUUAUUUUAACGUUUUGGAUGUUGGUGGUGGUCUGAGGUGCUAGGGUAGCACUGGUGAUAAACAAAUGCUGUGGUGAUGUUAUGUUUACAGUAGUGAUGGCAGAGGUGGAGCUGGAAAUAUGACAAUGACAGCAUUAGAGUGGUGACAAUUAAUUGCCACAAUCUUUUUAAUAUUUCCCUUUUCUCUCAGAACGUCCAUCUUUUGCUGGUUUUUAAUUCCUUUUCUCUUUUAAAGGCAAAAACCCAACUAACUACAUUGCCUGACACACAAUUUUUGCUGAAAAAAAAAUGCAAAAAUGGUUGAAGAUGAAAAUUGCUUCUAAUCUUUUGCUUCUGUUUACAUGUUUUUAAAAUGUUUAAAUAUGCCGUCCCCCUUUUUUUGCAGCGCCGUAAAGAGCUAAAAUGGAAAAAUACUUGGAAGGUUAUUUACGUUCAUGCUGGUGUUUUGUAUUUAGCUUGCAGAAGCUUGGUCGUGCAGCUGAUUACCCCGUAUAAAGCUCUGAUCGCUGCUUAUUAUGCUUUACAAGAGUACUUCUAGUAAUCAAGUGGAUGUUACCAUGUAUCAUAAAUUCAUAUGUUCUGGACUGUAGUGGAAUGUUUUAAUAACUAUCUGCAAUCUGAUAGUCACUUGUUAUUGAUGAUAUGCUUUCUGGAGAUAUUGAUUAUGAUUUUCUGCUAUAAAGUUUUACUUUCCUAGGUAGAUGUGUCAAAAAUUGCCUCUGUUGUUGCUUAAGAAACCGUUUGUGGUUUUAAUUAGUUCCUUGGGCUUUUAUCAAUUUGGCAUGCUGAGGAUCCAAUGUUUAUGAUGUUGACUGUCUUUCCAUAAUUCUACUUCGCUCCAUCGCCUGGCAAGGUUGUAAUCCGGGAUGGGGGCAUAGUGAAGGGUUAUUAAUGGUAAAAUCUGUGGUGGAUUUUUUUUUCUAGCUUAUGAUCUACACUCAAUUUUGUGAUAACAGUAUGCGACUCGGUUUAAUUCUUGUAGUGCAAAAUUGGAGAAUUUUGUCCACUUGUUUCCCAAGUUUGGUGCACCAAUUGGAUAGAGGAUUAAAAUGGACGAUGUUCUUUCACAAAUGUGGUUGUAUUUUGCAUGAGAUGUGAAUGAAUCCCAAAGUACAUGGGGAGGAGUGGCAAUCCAAUACAUGGAAAGGAGUGGAGUGGCAAUGGAUAAGGGGUGUAAUUGGUUGGUUUGGAUAUAAAUG